RNAcentral lists this ribosomal RNA (482 nucleotides) under Austropotamobius torrentium (stone crayfish). Its description in RNAcentral is "partial large subunit ribosomal RNA". It matches the Rfam family "Bacterial large subunit ribosomal RNA", at positions 1858 to 2606 of the family's 2925-position model. Lineage: Eukaryota; Metazoa; Arthropoda; Malacostraca; Decapoda; Astacidae. The record is from RNAcentral.
CCUGCCCAUUGAGAUUUGAAAGGCCGCGGUAUUAUGACCGUGCUAAGGUAGCAUAAUCAUUAGUCUUUUAAUUGGAGGCUGGAAUGAAUGGUCGGACAAGAGAUAAGCUGUCUUAAGUAAAAAUAUUGAAUUUAACUUUUAAGUGAAAAGGCUUAAAUCUUCUAGGGGGACGAUAAGACCCUAUAAAACUUUAUAUUUUGAAAUAAUAAUUAAUUUUGUGUGGGAGGGGUUAUUUUUAAGUAUUUUAUUGGGGUGAUAAGGAUAAAAUAAUAAGUAACUGUCUUUUUUUAUUACAAUAAUAUUUGAGCAAAUGAACCUAGUAAGGGAAAGAAGAUUAAGUUACUUUAGGGAUAACAGCGUAAUUUUUUUUAAGAGUUCUUAUCGACAAGAAAGUUUGCGACCUCGAUGUUGAAUUAAAAAUUCUUUAUAGAGCAGAAACUAUAAAAGAAGGUCUGUUCGACCUUUAAAAUUUUACGUGAUCU